Long non-coding RNA from Vigna angularis (adzuki bean), 1993 nucleotides. RefSeq lists it as uncharacterized. The record is from RefSeq and is a predicted model, not a curated record. The transcript has 11 exons. Lineage: Eukaryota; Viridiplantae; Streptophyta; Magnoliopsida; Fabales; Fabaceae.
UUCCCCGCACCUUUUAUUCACGUUUUUUGGACUUCAAACAGAGUUUGGAGUAUUCGCGCUAGGAGCAUGGCAAGAGGAGGUUUUUGUCUCCUCCGUUUUGGGUUCAGAUAAUGGGAUCUUCCAUAAUCCUUCUAAUUUCUUCAACGUUCGUAAUUCCUUCUCAAAUUCUUCUCAUUUCUUCAUCAUCACUCUCUCUCUCAGUUAGAGUUUUCGCUCUUCGCUUUCUCUUCUUCGCACUAAUGGCCGCCACGCCUCCUUCCUUUUCCUCUCUCGCACCACCUGCGCCUCUCUCCUCCGCGAAUUGCAGUUUUUUCAUAAACAUAGUCGUCUCUGACUAUUAGGUUUUGAGAGAGAAAGAAAUAAAAUCAUCAGAGGUAGAGAGAAGGCAAAGAGAAAAGGGGAAAGCACUAUUCACAUUCAGAUCUGAGAGAACAAGCACCAGGGAACGAUGGAGGUGGAAACCAGAGAAAGAGGAAGUCACACACACUCUCAAAGCAACUGAAGCUACGACCAAGGCGAGAAGUCAGGAUUGAUGCUGAUAUAAAAGACGGGGGAAUGACAUUGGUUACAGCUUUAUCUCCACAUGCCAAUUGGCUUCAUGGAAAUGCGAAUUUGAAGCUUGAGGUCAGAGGUACAGUUGAUCAACCAAUACUUAAUGGACACGCAUCAUUCCACAGGGCAUCUAUUUCUUCACCAGUGCUACGAAAACCACUUACCAACUUUGGUGGAAAUGUUUACGUGCAAUCAAACAGGUUAUGCAUCACCUCACUGGAGAGUAGGGUAAGCAGAAAAGGAAAGCUUCUUGUAAAAGCGAAUCUGCCACUCAGUGCAAGUGAAGCAGCCCUAGAUUACAAGAUUGAAUUGAAGUGCGUACGGGCACAAAAAAUAUUAAGUGACGGCUAACAAGUCAACUCAGGUUGAAAAGCAGAUGGAGCAAGUGCAGAUUAAACCAAAUGUAGAAAUCUGUCUCAAUGAUUUGAAGCUUGUUCUUGGACCAGACUUGGAGAUAGUUUAUCCUUUGAUUCUUAAUUUCAGUACAAGUGGGCUUUAGAUCAGCUGUUCUACAAGCAUAACUUCAGCCGAGUAAUCAUCCUUGAAGGGGAAGAGAACUUGGGUCCGUGGAAGAAUAAAGUUGCACAAGUAGCUCCAGAACCAGGUCCCGAGGCUAAGGGUACUCUUGUCCUAGCAGCAAACAGGACCAAUAGGCCUGACAUUCUACGUAGAUUUCGGUGUUACCAAGGUGGUUGGGACAUUGAAAAUCGACACUAUUGGGCCGUAAGAACUACAAUGCUUCAUUUUCAUCGUGUUUUCAAAUGACUGAUGCUAAUUUAUUAUGUAUCUUCUCAUCUCAUUCCUGUAAUAUUUGACACUCUAGUAUGUUGUUCAUAGCAUAUCCAUAUAUAUUUCUUACAAUUUCACUUAGGUGUGUUUAAUGGGAAGUAAUCCUUGCUAAGAUCUGAUGGUCUCAAAAAUGAUAAUAGCUUGCAGUCAACUUGGGUGUUCAGAGGAGAUAAUCACCAUUGCUGUUGUUCUUUCCGUCCAAUCCAUCUGGAUCUCAAGGAGAGGGAUACAAAAGGGAUCUGAUGAAGCAAAAUUGAGAUUUGCUGCUGCCGAGGGUGACCAUGUAACGUUCCUUAAUGUAUACAAGGGGUUUCAUCAAUCUGGUAAAUCUUCACAGUGGUGUAACAAGAACUAUGUAAACUAUCAUGCCAUGAGAAAGGUUCUUGAAGUUAGAGAGCAACUCAAAAGAAUUACAAAGAGGAUAGGACUAGUCUUGAAAUCUUGUGAGAGUGAUAUGCAGGCCUAUACUACCAUGAGAUUAUGUUCUUCAAGCUUGCCACAUUAUCGUUUCUCCUUAUGGCAACCAUGUAAUUAUGAGGGUUUCGUUUUACACGGGUUUAAUAUUAGAUUAGAUAGUUUUAUGUACAAAUAAUGUAUUAAAUAUUAUUACACAAUUUAAUGUAUGAAAUGAAUUUCAUUUUGUUUGUUCAAU